UACUUUCAGCAGUGAGGAAGGUGGGUAUGUUAAUUAGCAUAUUCAUUUUGACGUUUAGCUGCAGUAAGAAGCACCGGCUAACUCCGUGCCAGCAGCCGUCGGUAAUACGGAGGGUGCGAGCGUUAAUCGGAAUUACUGGGUCCGUAAAGUCGCAUGCAGGUGGUUUGUUAAGUCAGAUGUGAAAGCCCGGGGCUCAACCUCGGAAUUUGCAUUUGAAACUGGCAAACUAGAGUACUGUAGAGGGGGUAGAAUUUCAGGUGUAGCGGUGAAAUGCGUAGAGAUCUGAAGGAAUACCGGUGGCGAAGGCGGCCCCCUGGACAGAUACUGACACUCAGAUGCGAAAGCGUGGGGAGCAAACAGGAUUAGAUACCCUGGUAG
This 378-nucleotide ribosomal RNA is filed under the name uncultured bacterium. Its description in RNAcentral is "bacterial SSU rRNA". It matches the Rfam family "Bacterial small subunit ribosomal RNA", at positions 431 to 793 of the family's 1533-position model. The record is from RNAcentral.